This 104-nucleotide non-coding RNA is filed under the name Ruegeria sp. Its description in RNAcentral is "TPP sequence". It matches the Rfam family "TPP riboswitch aptamer (THI element)". From Rfam's summary of the family: Vitamin B(1) in its active form thiamin pyrophosphate (TPP) is an essential coenzyme that is synthesised by coupling of pyrimidine and thiazole moieties in bacteria. The previously detected thiamin-regulatory element, thi box was extended, resulting in a new, highly conserved RNA secondary structure, the THI element, which is widely distributed in eubacteria and also occurs in some archaea. Analysis of operon structures identified a large number of new candidate thiamin-regulated genes, mostly transporters, in various prokaryotic organisms. The record is from RNAcentral. Lineage: Bacteria; Pseudomonadati; Pseudomonadota; Alphaproteobacteria; Rhodobacterales; Roseobacteraceae.
AAGCCUACCUCGGGGUGCGCGGUCUGCCGUGCUGAGACGUCUUUAACGAACCCGUAGAACCUGAACCGGCUAGAACCGGCGGAGGGAAGGUUACGGUUUCAUCC